This 838-nucleotide ribosomal RNA is filed under the name uncultured bacterium. Its description in RNAcentral is "bacterial SSU rRNA". It matches the Rfam family "Bacterial small subunit ribosomal RNA", at positions 524 to 1381 of the family's 1533-position model. The record is from RNAcentral.
UACCAGGGAUGCAAGCGUUAUCCGGAAUUAUUGGGCGUAAAGCGUUUGUAGGCGGGCGAGUGUGUUUAAUGUUAAAUCUUAAAGCUCAACUUUGAAAUUGCGUUAAAAACUGCUUGUCCUGAGUAUGGUAGGGGUAAAGGGAAUUCCCAGUGUAGCGGUGAAAUGCGUAGAUAUUGGGAAGAACACUAAACAGCGAAGGCACUUUACUAGGCUAAUACUGACGCUGAGAAACGAAAGGUAAGGUAGCGAAACGGAUUAGAUACCCGUGUAGUCUUACCCGUAAACUAUGGACACUAAACGGUAAAUUUUUAAUUUACUGUUAAAGCUAACGCGUUAAGUGUCCCGCCUGGGGAGUAUGCUUGCAAAAGUGAAACUCAAAGGAAUUGACGGGGGCCCGCACAAGCGGUGGAGCAUGUGGUUUAAUUCGACGGUACACGAAGAACCUUACCAGGAUUUGACAUGCUAGAUAGUUGCUUGAAAGAGUAACGUGCCGUAAGGAAUCUAGACACAGGUGGUGCAUGGCUGUCGUCAGUUCGUGUUGUGAAAUGUUGGGUUAAGUCCCGCAACGAACGCAACCCUUGUCUUUAGUUAUUUUCUAAAGAGACUGCCUGUAAUAAACAGGAGGAAGGUAAGGAUGAGGUCAAGUCAUCAUGCCCCUUAUGUCCUGGGCUACACACGUGCUACAAUGGGAAAGACAAUGAGCUGCAAAUCUGUAAAUUUAAGCAAAUCUCUUAAACUUUCUCGUAGUUCGGAUUGUGGGCUGCAACUCGCCCACAUGAAGUUGGAAUCGCUAGUAAUCGCCAGUCAGCUAUAUGGCGGUGAAUCCGUUCCCGGGCCU